This is an RNA transcript of Bombus impatiens (common eastern bumble bee), 3145 nucleotides long. It is a transcript of the gene named autophagy-related protein 9A, with no coding region annotated. The record is from RefSeq and is a predicted model, not a curated record. NCBI's taxonomy places the organism in Eukaryota, Metazoa, Arthropoda, Insecta, Hymenoptera, Apidae. The transcript has 9 exons.
AGCAGAACAAGGUGGACUACAAAUAGAAGGAAAAUUCAGUAAAGAUGGUGAUAGACGGGGAAGUGGUCGAAUGUUUCGAACAACUAGAUAUCUAAAUUAGCAGUAAAUAAUCGUUCGUGUUCCAGUCAACAUGUGAGUGGGGAUUCAUGAGUUUGCAGACGAUAGUAAUAAACACGUGUCAAUUUGGAAAGCGGGACAAAAAUCGGCAAAAACGAAGGUACGACAGGAUGCUUUGUUUAUGGAGAUCAGCUGUGUUACCAAACAUUCCUAUCGCUUUCGCUGCAGCGUCUACGACGCUUCUAUUUUCGUCGAAUAAAGAUGCUUGUGGAGCAACCGUUGACCGGUAGUUAAUUAUUCUUAAUGACAUGUGAGAAUGAAACGAGAAACUGUCAUUACCUGUGUAGAGCCAAACCGACGAGCAAAAACGAUGACGACGGUAUUGGAUGGCAGCUACCAACGUAUGGAGCCAUACGAUGGGGAAGAAGAGGAUGGAGAAGACGAUGAUGAACACGAGGAAACACCUCAGGAAUCUGGUGUUAUGAUACACGUAGUACCAGAAGGAAAUAAAGCUAGAUGGAACCAUAUUGAAGAUCUAGAUUCUUUUUUUACAAGAAUGUACCACUACCAUCAAAAACAUGGAUUCGCUUGUAUGAUACUCCAAGAAGCACUUGAACUAGGACAAUUCAUUUUCGUAGUUACUUUUUCAACUUUUCUCUUUCAUUGCAUCGAUUACUCCGUAUUGUUCAAGAACAAGCCCCAAACAUCGCACAAAACGUCGAUAAGCGACGUGAUUUUACCAACGAGCGAAUGUGUAGCAUCUAUGGGUCUGGUUACUUGGAUCUGUAUUUUAGUAGCCGCGAUUUUUUGGAUUUUACGAUUAGUAAAAGUUUUGUAUCAUUGCACGCAGUUUUGGGACAUAAAGUUAUUCUUUAAUACCGCGUUGAAAAUUGAAGACUGCGAUUUGGACAAUCUCACCUGGCACGAGGUACAAAAGCGAGUAAGAGAAGUGCAAAAAGAGCAGGAAAUGUGCAUACACAAAAGAGAGCUUACGGAAUUAGAUAUAUACCAUAGAAUAUUAAGAUUUAAAAAUUAUAUGGUGGCUAUGAUCAAUAAAUCCUUGUUACCCGUUCGACUUAAAAUCCCUGUUAUAGGAGAAAUUAUUUUCAUGACAAGAGGAUUGAAAUACAAUAUGGAGCUACUAUUGUUUUGGGGACCAUGGUCUCCGUUUGAAAACAAUUGGCAUCUCAAAGAAGACUAUAAAAAGUUAAACAAAAGACAAGAACUUGCAAGAGCACUAUCUAAACAUAUUUUAUGGGUUGGAGUAGUGAAUUUUCUACUUUGCCCGUUAAUUUUACUCUGGCAGAUACUCUAUUCGUUUUUUAACUACGGCGAGAUCAUCAAGCGAGAGCCAGGAACUUUAGGUACAAGAAUGUGGUCUUUAUACGGCCGGUUAUACCUCCGUCAUUUCAACGAACUUGAUCACGAAUUGAAUGCCCGUCUAAAUCGCGCAUACCGUCCAGCUUCGAAAUACAUGAGCAUAUUUACAUCCCCCAUUAUGACUGUUAUCGCGAAAAACGUUGCUUUCGUAGCUGGAAGUAUAUUAGCAGUUUUAUUAAUAUUAACUGUAUACGAUGAGGAUGUACUUACGGUGGAGCACGUGUUGACUACCAUGACCAUAUUGGGUGCUAUGGUCGCAGGAGCAAGGGCGUUUAUACCGGAUGAGAAUUUAGUUUGGUGUCCAGAGACUCUCUUAACUGCCGUCUUGGCCCAUACACAUUACAGACCGGAUAGUUGGCGAGGUCACGCUCAUACUCAAACCACGAGAGCAGAAGUAGCACAACUAUUUCAAUAUCGUGCAGUUCAUCUCUUAGAAGAAUUAAUUUCCCCUCUGCUUACACCAUUUAUUCUGUGCUUUCGGAUGAGACAACGGGCCUUGGAUAUUGUGGACUUCUAUCGUAAUUUCACGAUCGAAGUUACAGGCGUCGGGGACGUUUGCAGUUUUGCACAAAUGGACGUGCGCAAACAUGGCAAUCCAACGUGGCAAACGGUGACUCGAAGUCCUGUCAUAGAUCAGACUGGUAGAUACGAUGUUAACCAGUACCCCAUAGAUCCGGAAAAACUUCAAAUUCCUGUAUCGGAUCAAUAUACGCAAGCAGAAGACGGGAAAACCGAAUUGUCCCUUAUUCAUUUCACCUUAACGAAUCCCGAGUGGAAACCACCGAGUCACGCUGAGAAUUUCGUCGCAGCUUUAAGAGAAAGAGUGAAGAAAGAAGUGCAAGGUGGUAUACACGGUGAAAUUAAUCCCCUUUUGGCAAGCUUGAACAGUUUAUCUAGCUUGGAACCGGGUUACAAUGACAUAGUAUCGAACAUAAUUCGGAGCACAAUGGUAAAUCAGCCAGGUGGGCUAAGCACGAGUAAUAUGUUCUUGAACCAACCUGGUACCUCGACGGUUUCUGCCGCUGGGGAUGAACUGUUAAAUGUGAAAUCAGACAUUUUGCCGCAUGCCGUUCAAUGUGGUUUAAGCAAAGCCGAAGGGCCCGUACACAAUGAAAAAGGAUUUCUGUAUGGUUUGCAACAAGGAAUUUCGAAUCAGUCCCUAGGCGCCUCUGUUUUUGUAUCAAGCCAUGAGUUAUCCACUGAUUUAUCUGUACCGGUGGAGUUAAUCGCUGCCGAUAUGUCUCUGUCUACAUUGUACCUGCAUGAACUUCAUUAUAGACAAGUUCGAAGGAGGGGCUAUCAAGAAAUGGCUGCUAGAAGCAUAUGGCAACGAAGCCCUGUUCAAGAGCUUGCUACGCUUCCUGAAGUUAGACAAGAGAGAGCACCCUUGCUCUUACAUCAAGAUUCUUCUAUAAGAAACAAUAGAGAAUUUAAAUAUAACGUGAACACUCAUUUAGGUAGCAUCUGAAUCAUUCGUGCAGUGAUAUCGCCACUUUUAACAGAAUAAAAUAUUUUCAUUCGCUUAACGAUGCGAUGUCCUCGUGAUUUAUUUUAUAACAAGAGAAUAGCUAGAACGUUUAAGAAUCUGUGUUAUCGAUGUAAAUACAAUAUUGAAACGAUCUCGAAUGCCUAUUUUAAUCUAUUCGAAGGCCUACGCGUGUGUACAUUUUGCGCAUCAAAUUAUGAAUGAAACGCUUCCCAAAAUUGU